Molecule: ribosomal RNA, 450 nt
Filed under: uncultured bacterium
Lineage: Bacteria
Description: partial 16S ribosomal RNA
Rfam family: Bacterial small subunit ribosomal RNA
Source: RNAcentral
GUGGGGAAUCUUCCGCAAUGGACGAAAGUCUGACGGAGCAACGCCGCGUGAGUGAUGAAGGUCUUCGGAUUGUAAAGCUCUGUUAAUCGGGACGAAAGAGCCUAGUGUGAAUAAUGCUAGGAAGUGACGGUACCGGAAUAGAAAGCCACGGCUAACUACGUGCCAGCAGCCGCGGUAAUACGUAGGUGGCAAGCGUUGUCCGGAAUUAUUGGGCGUAAAGCGCGCGCAGGCGGAUCUGCCAGUCUGUCUUAAAAGUUCGGGGCUUAACCCCGUGAGGGGACCGAAACUGUAGGACUAGAGUAUCGGAGAGGAAAGCGGAAUUCCUAGUGUAGCGGUGAAAUGCGUAGAUAUUAGGAGGAACACCAGUGGCGAAAGCGGCUUUCUGGACGAUAACUGACGCUGAGGCGCGAAAGCCAGGGGAGCGAACGGGAUUAGAAACCCUUGUAGUCC